This 1952-nucleotide long non-coding RNA is filed under the name Pan troglodytes (chimpanzee). RNAcentral's name for it is "long non-coding RNA NONPTRT003961". The record is from RNAcentral. Lineage: Eukaryota; Metazoa; Chordata; Mammalia; Primates; Hominidae.
AAAGAGAGCUCAAGUGUUUUAAAUAUUUAUUUUAAAUGGAAGAGACAGGAGGCAUAUGCCAUAUAAAUUACCCUAUGUUGAAAGCUCCUGAAGGCAGGGACAGUUUGCUUCUGCAUUGCUUUAUACAUUUCCUAACAUAGAAGUAUAUGUAAAUAAACUACACAUUUCUAAGCAUAGUGAUGCUGUGUGAGGAGUAGCCUCGGUCAAUCUGAAAUAAAUAAAUAAAUAAAUAAACAAGCCAGAGCAUCCUCCAAAGUCUUACUCUGAGUGAUUUUCUUCUGUCCUGUGUUUACCUUCCCUCAAUAUCCAAUUUACAAUGUCUCACUUGUUGUGGAGGCCUCAUGUGUAUAUCCUGAAUUAAUUGAAUAAUGUGUUUAAGGAAGCCUUUUAUAGUAUUCUACAGGUCAUAGGGUAUCUUUUAUGCUUAGCUAAAUUGGAGAACCAUUUAAUUUUUGCAUAUGUUUUUAUACAAUUAGGUCACAUAGAGAAGUGGCAAUUUCUUGCUCAAUAUUCGAAAAGGCCAAACAGGAGAAACUCAAAAAUUUGGAACCUAAGGCUGUGCCCUUUGCUGUGGCUGUUAAUAUUUUUGUUUCUGUUUCCUCAUUGAUUGAUUAAAUGAGAAUAAGAAGUCUUUCUACACACCUACUUCACAAAUGGUUUAAAUAUGGUAAGCACACAUACUAUAAAAUAAAUGAAAUCCCCAGUAGAGCUUGGAUGGACAGGGCCAAGAGGGUUGUUUUUGGUCAUACAACUGACCUCAAGCUCUCCUUCAUGCCUGGAAGAUUUUUCUCAACAUUAGGCUAAAUUUCUCAUAUGGGUUGGUAAGAUCUGGACCACAGUGUCAAGAAACUUUUAGUUUUACUGGGUCCCAGGGUAGACCUCUGAUACACAGUGGAAAGCAUACAUCAUUCCUGUUUUUACCAAGUUCCAUGCUCUAAAAUUUAUGGUCACUAAGAAACCAGUAGACCCUAGUGAUUAAGAUCUCAGGCUCUGGACUCAGAUUUACAUCUCUGUUAUUUCUCUGAUAUUUGACAAGUCUCCAAAGCUCUUUGAGCCUCAUCAUUGAAAUUGGGUGAAAUUAUUAAUAAUAUCCACUACAAAGGUUUGCUCUCAGAAUUAAAUGAGAUAGUACAUGUACAGCAUUUAGUGUGAUUCCUAGAACAUGAGCAUUUCUCAAUAAACGUUAGCUGUUAGCUGUAUUGGAUGUUUACUUCAUAAUAUAAAGUAUGCUCGUUAGCCAUUUCAGCCACCAUUUUUAAGUAGAAAAAUAAUCAAUGAGUUUCUUUCUUUGAUCCUAUGCAAUUCUCAGAAACUAUUAACAAAGUGUAACAUGAAGGAUCUCUGGGCUUUGACACUGGGGGCAGGUAGGUGAUGAGAAAACAGAUAAAUGAAAGAAAAUAAAUGGUGAGACACUCAUAUCAGCAAGUGCCCCGCCACAGUACUGAGGAGAAUAUGACACUACGGUUUGGGAAGAUGCUAUGGGAAGCGAGGUACGAGAGCCUCUAGGAAGUGUGCAAUCUAGUUUAAAGAUGAAAUGGAGGUGAAAUGCAGAGCAACAAAGCAGAUUCAGAGUAAAAGAAGAGGAAUAGAGCAAGAAAGCACAUAGCCCCGGAUAGAACGACGAAAUGGGUUGCAUGUGAUUUAAACAUGUUACUGAAGAAGCUUGACUGUGUAGAGAGCAAGUGUAGGAAAAAAGUGUGUGUGUGUGUGCAUGCGCGUGCAUGUGUGUGUGAUUCUCUGCUCUUUCAAAUCCUGUGUUCUGGACUUGUUAUUUUUCCCACUGUUUGUCGAAAUCUUGGGCAGCUCCAUAGAUUUUUCUAGUCCCUUGUAGUCGUGAGAACUUAUUGCAGUAAUUAAGAAUUUCCAUCCAGAAAAGUCUUUUGUCUUUUAUCCAACUGAAAGCUUCUUCUCUGACAGACUACAGUAGGAGGCAAAGUUUCUCCCUCCCUCUC